UACGAAGGGUGCAAGCGUUACUCGGAAUUACUGGGCGUAAAGCGUGCGUAGGUGGUUCGUUAAGUCUGAUGUGAAAGCCCUGGGCUCAACCUGGGAACUGCAUUGGAUACUGGCGAUCUGGAGUGCGGUAGAGGGUAGCGGAAUUCCCGGUGUAGCAGUGAAAUGCGUAGAUAUCGGGAGGAACAUCCGUGGCGAAGGCGGCUACCUGGACCAGCACUGACACUGAGGCACGAAAGCGUGGGGAGCAAACAGGAUUAGAUACCCUGGUAGUCCACGCCCUAAACGAUGCGAACUGGAUGUUGGGUGCAACUUGGCACUCAGUAUCGAAGCUAACGCGUUAAGUUCGCCGCCUGGGAAGUACGGUCGCAAGACUGAA
RNAcentral lists this ribosomal RNA (376 nucleotides) under uncultured bacterium. RNAcentral describes it as "bacterial SSU rRNA". It matches the Rfam family "Bacterial small subunit ribosomal RNA", at positions 524 to 898 of the family's 1533-position model. The record is from RNAcentral.